CCUACUACUACUAGUCUUCUCUCCUCCUCUACUGGGCACAAUUCACAAUUUUUUUGUUUAAAUUUUAUGCUUUCAAAUAAUAAAAUUGAGCGAUUGUUUCCUUCUCCUGCUUCUCCUCCUCCUUCUCCUUCUCCUCCUAAAAUAUGCAGCAAUUCACAAUUUAUAUAGCUUGAUUUUAUUCUUAAAAACACAAUCAGAUUGACUGAUUGUUUCCCUCUUCCUCCUUUUUCCUCCUCUUCCUCCUCCUCCUUUACUGGGCAGCAAUUCACAGUUUUUCCAGCUUGUGGUAUUUUUUGCUUUCAACAUAAUAAGUUUAAUGGGUUCUUUUGUCCUCCUCCUCUUCCUCCUCCUCCUCCACCUCCUCCUCCACCUCCACCUCCACUGGGCAGCAAUUCAAAAUUUUUCUCGCUUGAAAUUAAUGCUUUCAACAUAAUAAGAUUGACUAAUUCUUUUCUUUUCAUCCGUUUCCUUUUCCGCCUCCUCCUCCUCCUAUGCUGCGCAGCAAUUCAGUUUUUAAAGUUGGAUUUUAUUCUUUCAACAUAAUAAGAUUCGCUGAUUCUUUCUUCCUCCUCCUUCUCCUCCACAACCACCUCCUUCUCCUCCUUGUCCUCCUUUUCCACUGGGUAAAAAUUCACAAUAUUUCUAGCUUGUUCUUUAUGCUUUCAACAUAAUAAGAUUGACUCAGUUUUUCCUCCUCCUCUUUCUGCUCCUCCUCCUCCUCCAGUGGGCAGCAAUUCAGUUUUUCUAGUUGGACUUUUUUCUUUCAACUUAAUAAGAUUCACUGAUUCUUUCUUCCUCCUCCUCCUCCUCUUCCUCCUCCUUGUCCUCCUCCUCCUCCACUGGUUAGAAAUUCACAAAUUUUCUAGCUUGUAUUUAUUGCUUUUUACAUAAGAUUGACUGAUUCUUUGAUCCUCCUCCUUCUUCUCGUCCUCCUCUUCCUCCUCCUCCUCCUCCUCCUCCUCCUCCUCCUCCUUCUGUUUUUUUUUCCUCCGGGUAGCAGUUCACAGUUUUUUCUAGCUUGGAUUUUAUUCUUCUAACAUAAUAAGAUUCAUUGAUUCUUUCUUCCUCUUCCUUUUUUUGACCUCCUUCUCCUUGUCUUUUUCUUCCGCUUCUGGGCAGCAAUUACAAUAUUUGUAGCUUGGAUAUUAUUCUUUCAACACAAUAAGUUUGAUGGAUUUUUUCUUUCUUUUCCUCUUUGUCCUUCUCCUCCUUCUCCUUUUUUUUUCUCCUCCACCUCCUCCUCCUCUUUCUCCUUCUCCUCCUCUGUGCAGCAUUUCACAAUUUCUCUAGCUUGGAUUCUAUUCUUAAGUAUUUACAACUGGGAAUAAGUAACUUACCUUGUGACUUAACUGAAGUAUUUACAAUUGCUAUGUAUUUACUGGGUGUAAAGUACUUACCUUGUGACUUAACUUAAGUAUUUACAAUUGUUAAGUAUUUACUGGGCGUAACUUACUUACCUUGUGACUUAAGUAUUUACAAUUGUUAAGUAUUUACAACUGGGUGUAACUUACCUUGUUACCUAUUCCAUUAUAUUUAUCUGAU
This 1542-nucleotide long non-coding RNA is filed under the name Callithrix jacchus (white-tufted-ear marmoset). Its description in RNAcentral is "lncRNA (ENSCJAG00000081121.1)". Lineage: Eukaryota; Metazoa; Chordata; Mammalia; Primates; Cebidae. The record is from RNAcentral.